UACAAAAUACACUGGUCUGGGAGCCCUUUUUAGCUGGCGAUUGCAGCUCCUGCGAGACAGAGGUGCCCAUUCAUCUGAUUAAAAAGGGGACUGAAGCAGGGAGCCAGGCCAGGAGAUUCCCAGGCAAAAAAGCACCACAAAUCUCAGAGUGGCUGUUUCAGCUGGCGCAG
Long non-coding RNA from Sapajus apella (tufted capuchin), 170 nucleotides. RefSeq lists it as uncharacterized. The transcript is spliced from 3 exons. The record is from RefSeq and is a predicted model, not a curated record. NCBI's taxonomy places the organism in Eukaryota, Metazoa, Chordata, Mammalia, Primates, Cebidae.